RNAcentral lists this unclassified non-coding RNA (199 nucleotides) under uncultured Tomentella. Its description in RNAcentral is "sequence contains ITS1". Lineage: Eukaryota; Fungi; Basidiomycota; Agaricomycetes; Thelephorales; Thelephoraceae. The record is from RNAcentral.
CCGAACCGUCGACACGAGCUGUUGCUGGCCCUCGAAUGGGGGCACGUGCACGCUCUGUUUACACAUCCACUCACACCUGUGCACCCUCUGUAGUUCUAUGGCCUUGGGGACCCUGUCUCCUUGCCGUGGUCCUACGUCUUUACACACACACCGUAACAAAGUCUCAUGGAAUGUACGCCGCGUUUAACGCGAUACAAUA